RNAcentral lists this non-coding RNA (1232 nucleotides) under Schistosoma mansoni. Its description in RNAcentral is "Eukaryotic large subunit ribosomal RNA". It matches the Rfam family "Eukaryotic large subunit ribosomal RNA", at positions 24 to 659 of the family's 3401-position model. The record is from Rfam by way of RNAcentral. Lineage: Eukaryota; Metazoa; Platyhelminthes; Trematoda; Strigeidida; Schistosomatidae.
CCCGCUGAACUUAAGCAUAUCACUAAGCGGAGGAAAAGAAACUAACAAGGAUUGCCUUAGUAACUGCGACUGAACAGGAAUUCGCACAACACAGAAGCCUGCGGUUAAUUGAUCGUGAGGCAAUGUGGCGUUUAGGUUGGCUUCAGGCUUUACUUCUCUGUCCUAAGUCCAGCAAUGAGUACGGCUGUAGCAAGCCCAUUCAACUACUGUAUUUUUUGUGUGCUCUCUGUAAUCCUAAUAUUUAACCCACUGUAAAUUUAUGUGUGAGUCUGAUUGAGCGCAUGUCUGCACAUCAAUCCUUAAUCUGUUCUCUCAUUGGUUGUAAACAAAGACAAUCAAUAAUUUAUCCACAAUCCAUUAACACUAAUAAAUAUAUAUGGAUUUUUGAACACUCACACACACACUCACUUGUUUUCCCGGUGUGCUUGCUAUCUGUACGCUUGCGGAUUUUACCGAGCUUCAACAAUAAACUAUCUCUAUAACUGAUGUUCAGGCUUUUGAAUAAAUCUCGAGUAAACCCGUAAUUCUACUAGGAGAUUUAGCCUGCAGUAAAUAUUCAGUUAGCGGGAUAUUAUUUAUUUAUUGGAGUCAGAUAUAGAGGAAAUAAUCCUCUACAAAAUUGGUGAGCCGCAUUUUGAACACGCACCAUUAUUCUACAAAGUUGGUGAGCCCGACGUGAUCCUAACACGCAGCCUUCUGAUCUGGAGUCAGAUAUAGAGGAAUUAAUCCUCUACACGGCUUCCCAUUAUGGCCCAAAGAGGGUGAAAGACCCGUGGGGGCAGAGAUCAAGUGUGAUAGCUCUGCUCUGUGCUACCCUUGGAGUCGGGUUGUUUGUGAAUGCAGCCCAAAGUGGGUGGUAAACUCCAUCCAAGGCUAAAUACUUACACGAGUCUGAUAGCAAACAAGUACCGUGAGGGAAAGUUGAAAAGUACUUUAAAGAGAGAGUAAACGGUGUGUGAAACCGUUCAAAGGUAAACGGGUGGAGUUAACUCAUGACAAGCGAAUUUCGUUCUCCCAACUGCCUACUAACAAAAUAUUUAGUAGCAUAAACAGUUUGUGUGAGUCAAACUAUUCCACUCCUGAAAUUGUGUGUAGAAUAUAAGUUUAACAAUUAAUUUUGUAUAUUAGGCUUGAGGUAAAUCUGUUUGUGUGACAGCGGUAACACAAAAGCAAUAAAGAAUAAAGUUAGAUAAAUUUAUUUUAGGUAUUCACUUUCUCCAAUCGACAGGAAG